CAGUCGCCACGGGAAUACGUAGGUGGCAAGCGUUGUCCGGAAUUAUUGGGCGUAAAGGGCUCGCAGGCGGUUUCUUAAGUCUGAUGUGAAAGCCCCCGGCUCAACCGGGGAGGGUCAUUGGAAACUGGGAAACUUGAGUGCAGAAGAGGAGAGUGGAAUUCCACGUGUAGCGGUGAAACGCGUAGAGAUGUGGAGGAACACCAGUGGCGAAGGCGACUCUCUGGUCUGUAACUGACGCUGAGGAGCGAAAGCGUGGGGAGCGAACAGGAUUAGAGACCCCCGUAGUCCCUGUCUCUUAUAC
Molecule: ribosomal RNA, 301 nt
Filed under: uncultured bacterium
Lineage: Bacteria
Description: partial 16S ribosomal RNA
Rfam family: Bacterial small subunit ribosomal RNA
Source: RNAcentral